RNAcentral lists this ribosomal RNA (497 nucleotides) under uncultured bacterium. RNAcentral's name for it is "partial 16S ribosomal RNA". It matches the Rfam family "Bacterial small subunit ribosomal RNA", at positions 28 to 507 of the family's 1533-position model. The record is from RNAcentral.
GAUGAACGCUGGCGGCGUGCCUAAUACAUGCAAGUCGAGCGAACAGACGAGGAGCUUGCUUCUCUGAUGUUAGCGGCGGACGGGUGAGUAACACGUGGAUAACCUACCUAUAAGACUGGGAUAACUUCGGGAAACCGGAGCUAAUACCGGAUAAUAUUUUGAACCGCAUGGUUCAAUAGUGAAAGACGGUUUUGCUGUCACUUAUAGAUGGAUCCGCGCUGCAUUAGCUAGUUGGUAAGGUAACGGCUUACCAAGGCAACGAUGCAUAGCCGACCUGAGAGGGGGAUCGGCCACACUGGAACUGAGACACGGUCCAGACUCCUACGGGAGGCAGCAGUAGGGAAUCUUCCGCAAUGGGCGAAAGCCUGACGGAGCAACGCCGCGUGAGUGAUGAAGGUCUUCGGAUCGUAAAACUCUGUUAUUAGGGAAGAACAAAUGCGUAAGUAACUGUGCACAUCUUGACGGUACCUAAUCAGAAAGCCACGGCUAACUACGUG